AAGCGUAUUAGCGGAAGUUUUCGGAUGGAAGCGGAUAUGACCUAUAGGCGGACGGGUGAGUAACGCGUGGAUAACCUGCCUCAUACAGGGGGAUAACAGUUAGAAAUGACUGCUAAUACCGCAUAAGCGCACAGGACCGCAUGGUCCGGUGUGAAAAACUCCGGUGGUAUGGGAUGGAUCCGCGUCUGAUUAGCUGGUUGGUGAGGUAACGGCCCACCAAGGCGACGAUCAGUAGCCGACCUGAGAGGGUGGCCGGCCACAUUGGGACUGAGACACGGCCCAAACUCCUACGGGAGGCAGCAGUGGGGAAUAUUGCACAAUGGGGGAAACCCUGAUGCAGCAACGCCGCGUGAGUGAAGAAGUAUUUCGGUAUGUAAAGCUCUAUCAGCAGGGAAGAAGAAAGACGGUACCUGACUAAGAAGCCCCGGCUAACUACGUGCCAGCAGCCGCGGUAAUACGUAGGGGGCAAGCGUUAUCCGGAUUUACUGGGUGUAAAGGGAGCGUAGACGGUUGUGCAAGUCUGAAGUGAAAGCCCGCGGCUCAACUGCGGACUGCUUUGGAAACUGUAAAACUGGAGUGCAGGAGAGGCAGGCGGAAUUCCUAGUGUAGCGGUGAAAUGCGUAGAUAUUAGGAGGAACACCAGUGGCGAAGGCGGCCUGCUGGACUGUAACUGACGUUGAGGCUCGAAGGCGUGGGGAGCAAACAGGAUUAGAUACCCUGGUAGUCCACGCGGUAAACGAUGAUCACUAGGUGUCGGAGGGUAGAGACCCUUCGGUGCCGCCGCAAACGCAGUAAGUGAUCCACCUGGGGAGUACGUUCGCAAGAAUGAAACUCAAAG
RNAcentral lists this ribosomal RNA (838 nucleotides) under uncultured bacterium. RNAcentral's name for it is "bacterial SSU rRNA". It matches the Rfam family "Bacterial small subunit ribosomal RNA", at positions 59 to 906 of the family's 1533-position model. The record is from RNAcentral.